GACGAACGCUGGCGGCGUGCUUAACACAUGCAAGUCGAACGGAAAGGCCCUGCUUGCAGGGUACUCGAGUGGCGAACGGGUGAGUAACACGUGGGUGAUCUGCCCUGCACUUCGGGAUAAGCCUGGGAAACUGGGUCUAAUACCGGAUAGAAGCCAUUUUUAGUGUGAUGGUUGGAAAGGUUUUUUCGGUGUAGGAUGAGCUCGCGGCCUAUCAGCUUGUUGGUGGGGUAAUGGCCUACCAAGGCGGCGACGGGUAGCCGGCCUGAGAGGGUGGACGGCCACAUUGGGACUGAGAUACGGCCCAGACUCCUACGGGAGGCAGAAGUGGGGAAUAUUGCACAAUGGGCGCAAGCCUGAUGCAGCGAGGCCGCGGGGGGGAGGACGGCCUUCGGGUUGUAAACUCCGUUCGCUAGGGACGAAGCUUUUUGUGACGGUACCUAGAUAAGAAGCACCGGCUAACUACGUG
RNAcentral lists this ribosomal RNA (466 nucleotides) under uncultured bacterium. RNAcentral's name for it is "partial 16S ribosomal RNA". It matches the Rfam family "Bacterial small subunit ribosomal RNA", at positions 28 to 507 of the family's 1533-position model. The record is from RNAcentral.